This 436-nucleotide long non-coding RNA is filed under the name Gallus gallus (chicken). Its description in RNAcentral is "long non-coding RNA NONGGAT009239". Lineage: Eukaryota; Metazoa; Chordata; Aves; Galliformes; Phasianidae. The record is from RNAcentral.
CACCAACGCUGAGGACAGAGGAACUCCCGAUGGUUCUGUGUGUGUUAUCUCUAGAUGAUCUUCAAAGCCUUUCCCAACCUUAACGAUUCUAUGAUUGUGUGGGGCUGAGGACCUUUCAGUUGAGGAGAGUUCUUUACCAGCUUGUCAAGAUGGCAGAGCUGCUGGCAUCAGGUAAUUAUGCAAGCAUUCUGUGGUCAGACUGAGCUGCAAGAUGAAAACCAGUGAGUUAUCAGGAUGCACUUAGAGAGGAAAAUGGAGGAGAACUUCUCUUGAAGUAACCUAACACACAGUGGAGUCAAACCAAUUUGAGUAAGGUGGAAGCAAGAACUCCUGAUAAAUAACAGGAUCUCUACUAAGUCUAUAAUAGAAUUGAUGAAGAUAAGUAAGGAAAGCCCCUUUGUGUUAGAAUACACAGUUUCAUAAAAGUCAAAAUGUG